RNAcentral lists this non-coding RNA (21 nucleotides) under Mus musculus (house mouse). The record is from RNAcentral. Lineage: Eukaryota; Metazoa; Chordata; Mammalia; Rodentia; Muridae.
AGAUGGGUUUAAUGUAGAGUU